This 497-nucleotide ribosomal RNA is filed under the name uncultured bacterium. Its description in RNAcentral is "partial 16S ribosomal RNA". It matches the Rfam family "Bacterial small subunit ribosomal RNA", at positions 28 to 507 of the family's 1533-position model. The record is from RNAcentral.
GAUGAACGCUGGCGGCGUGCCUAAUACAUGCAAGUCGAGCGAACAGACGAGGAGCUUGCUCCUCUGAUGUUAGCGGCGGACGGGUGAGUAACACGUGGAUAACCUACCUAUAAGACUGGGAUAACUUCGGGAAACCGGAGCUAAUACCGGAUAAUAUUUUGAACCGCAUGGUUCAAUAGUGAAAGACGGUCUUGCUGUCACUUAUAGAUGGAUCCGCGCUGCAUUAGCUAGUUGGUAAGGUAACGGCUUACCAAGGCAACGAUGCGUAGCCGACCUGAGAGGGUGAUCGGCCACACUGGAACUGAGACACGGUCCAGACUCCUACGGGAGGCAGCAGUAGGGAAUCUUCCGCAAUGGGCGAAAGCUUGACGGAGCAACGCCGCGUGAGUGAUGAAGGUCUUCGGAUCGUAAAACUCUGUUAUUAGGGAAGAACAUAUGUGUAAGUAACUGUGCACAUCUUGACGGUACCUAAUCAGAAAGCCACGGCUAACUACGUG